GAGACCUUCAAAAUAGGACCAACCUUGCUCUGAUCGGAUACCAUUUGAAAAAGACAAUUAUCGAACGGUCUAGAUCACUCAAUGAUAUUUUUCAGCCAUUUUGAUUCUAGUAAAUUAAAUAUAAUUAUUAAUAAUUUAUUGGCUUUGUUUAGGUGCGAUCUGUAACGCUCUCAUCGUAUGUAGUCCGUACAUUCUACUUUUC
This 202-nucleotide unclassified non-coding RNA is filed under the name Hevea brasiliensis (rubber tree). Lineage: Eukaryota; Viridiplantae; Streptophyta; Magnoliopsida; Malpighiales; Euphorbiaceae. The record is from RNAcentral.